UGUAGUCAUAUGCUUGUCUCAAAGAUUAAGCCAUGCAUGUCUAAGUAUAAGCAAUUAUACAGCGAAACUGCGAAUGGCUCAUUAUAUAAGUUAUCGUUUAUUUGAUAGUACCUUACUACUUGGAUAACCGUGGUAAUUCUAGAGCUAAUACAUGCUAAAAAUCCCGACUUCGGAAGGGAUGUAUUUAUUAGAUUAAAAACCAAUGCCCUCCGGGGCUCACUGGUGAUUCAUGAUAACUCCUCGAAUCGCAUGGCCUUGCGCCGGCGAUGGUUCAUUCAAAUUUCUUCCCUAUCAACUUUCGAUGUUUGGGUAUUGGCCAAACAUGGUUGCAACGGGUAACGGGGAAU
Molecule: ribosomal RNA, 347 nt
Filed under: Fusarium solani
Lineage: Eukaryota; Fungi; Ascomycota; Sordariomycetes; Hypocreales; Nectriaceae
Description: SSU rRNA
Rfam family: Eukaryotic small subunit ribosomal RNA
Source: RNAcentral